RNAcentral lists this ribosomal RNA (558 nucleotides) under uncultured bacterium. RNAcentral's name for it is "bacterial SSU rRNA". It matches the Rfam family "Bacterial small subunit ribosomal RNA", at positions 366 to 917 of the family's 1533-position model. The record is from RNAcentral.
GGAUGGAUGGGCGCAGCCUGAUCCAGCAUGCCGCGUGUGUGAAGAAGGCCUUCGGGUUGUAAAGCACUUUUGUCCGGAAAGAAAUGGCUCUGGUUAAUACCUGGGGUCGAUGACGGUACCGGAAGAAUAAGGACCGGCUAACUACGUGCCAGCAGCCGCGGUAAUACGUAGGGUCCAAGCGUUAAUCGGAAUUACUGGGCGUAAAGCGUGCGCAGGCGGUUGUGCAAGACCGAUGUGAAAUCCCCGGGCUUAACUUGGGAAUUGCAUUGGUGACUGCACGGCUAGAGUGUGUCAGAGGGGGGUAGAAUUCCACGUGUAGCAGUGAAAUGCGUAGAGAUGUGGAGGAAUACCGAUGGCGAAGGCAGCCCCCUGGGAUAACACUGACGCUCAUGCACGAAAGCGUGGGGAGCAAACAGGAUUAGAUACCCUGGUAGUCCACGCCCUAAACGAUGUCAACUAGUUGUUGGGGAUUCAUUUCCUUAGUAACGUAGCUAACGCGUGAAGUUGACCGCCUGGGGAGUACGGUCGCAAGAUUAAAACUCAAAGGAAAUUGACGGA